RNAcentral lists this ribosomal RNA (505 nucleotides) under uncultured bacterium. Its description in RNAcentral is "partial 16S ribosomal RNA". It matches the Rfam family "Bacterial small subunit ribosomal RNA", at positions 28 to 507 of the family's 1533-position model. The record is from RNAcentral.
GACGAACGCUGGCGGCGUGCCUAAUACAUGCAAGUAGAACGCACAGGUUAUACCGUAGCUUGCUACACCAUAGACUGUGAGUUGCGAAAGGGUGAGUAACGCGGAGGUAACCUGCCUGGUAGCGGGAGAUAACUAUGGGAAACGAUAGCUAAGAGCGCAUAAUAUUAAUUAGUGGAUGGUAAGUAAUGGAAAGGGGGAAUGGCACCACGACCAGAUGGACCGGCGGUGUAUUAGCUAGUAGGUGAGGUAACGGCUCACAGAGGCGACGAGACAGAGACGACCUGCGAGGGUGGUCUGCCACCCUGGGACUGAGACACGGCCCAGACUCCUCCGGGAGGCAGCCGUAGGGCAUCUUCGGCAAUCGGCGAAAGUCUGUCCGAGCAACGCCGCGUGCGUGUAGAACGUUUUCGGAUCGUAAAGCUCUGUUGUCAGGGAAGAACGCGUGUGAGAGUGGAAAGUUCACACUGUGACGGUAACUUACCAGAAAGGGACGGCUAACUACGUG